This 253-nucleotide ribosomal RNA is filed under the name uncultured bacterium. Its description in RNAcentral is "partial 16S ribosomal RNA". It matches the Rfam family "Bacterial small subunit ribosomal RNA", at positions 524 to 776 of the family's 1533-position model. The record is from RNAcentral.
UACGGAGGGAGCUAGCGUUGUUCGGAUUCAUUGGGCGUAAAGGGUGCGUAGGCGGCGCGGUAAGUCGGGUGUGAAAUCUUGGAGCUUAACUCCGAAACUGCAUUCGAUACUGCCGUGCUUGAGGACUGGAGAGGAGACUGGAAUUUACGGUGUAGCGGUGAAAUGCGUAGAUAUCGUAAGGAAGACCAGUGGCGAAGGCGGGUCUCUGGACAGUUCCUGACGCUGAGGCACGAAGGCCAGGGGAGCAAACGGG